RNAcentral lists this ribosomal RNA (274 nucleotides) under uncultured bacterium. RNAcentral describes it as "partial 16S ribosomal RNA". It matches the Rfam family "Bacterial small subunit ribosomal RNA", at positions 523 to 796 of the family's 1533-position model. The record is from RNAcentral.
AUACGGAGGGUGCAAGCGUUGUUCGGAAUAACUGGGCGUAAAGCGCACGUAGGCGGAAUGUUAAGUUAGAGGUGAAAUCCCAGGGCUCAACCCUGGAACGGCCUUUAAUACUGGCAAUCUAGAGACCGAGAGAGGUGAGUGGAAUUCCGAGUGUAGAGGUGAAAUUCGUAGAUAUUCGGAGGAACACCAGUGGCGAAGGCGGCUCACUGGCUCGGUACUGACGCUGAGGUGCGAAAGCGUGGGGAGCAAACAGGAUUAGAAACCCCAGUAGUCC